Molecule: transfer RNA, 88 nt
Filed under: Bacillota bacterium
Lineage: Bacteria; Bacillati; Bacillota
Also listed under: 2 other names
Description: tRNA-Ser
Rfam family: tRNA
About the family: Transfer RNA (tRNA) molecules are approximately 80 nucleotides in length. Their secondary structure includes four short double-helical elements and three loops (D, anti-codon, and T loops). Further hydrogen bonds mediate the characteristic L-shaped molecular structure. tRNAs have two regions of fundamental functional importance: the anti-codon, which is responsible for specific mRNA codon recognition, and the 3' end, to which the tRNAs corresponding amino acid is attached (by aminoacyl-tRNA synthetases). tRNAs cope with the degeneracy of the genetic code in two manners: having more than one tRNA (with a specific anti-codon) for a particular amino acid; and 'wobble' base-pairing, i.e. permitting non-standard base-pairing at the 3rd anti-codon position.
Source: RNAcentral
GGAGAGGUGUCAGAGUGGUCGAAUGUGCUGGUCUCGAAAACCGGUGUUGUGAAAGCAACCGCGGGUUCAAAUCCCGCCCUCUCCGCCA